Molecule: non-coding RNA, 537 nt
Filed under: Erinaceus europaeus (western European hedgehog)
Lineage: Eukaryota; Metazoa; Chordata; Mammalia; Eulipotyphla; Erinaceidae
Description: Eukaryotic small subunit ribosomal RNA
Rfam family: Eukaryotic small subunit ribosomal RNA
Source: Rfam by way of RNAcentral
AAAAAGCUAUUACAAAAGUCAGAACUUCCACCUUCUGCACUCCAAAAAUUUGGUCCAUAUGCCCAGAGGGGUAAAUGAUAGGAGAAGAUAGCCAGAAGGCUCUGAACCCCAUUCGACCAGCACCCAAAGCAUUUGUCACUGGGAACCUUUUUUUGUUUGUUUGUUUCUGAUUUAUUUAUUAGAUAGAGACAGAGAGAGAUUGAGAAUGGAGGAAGGAGACAGAAAGGAAAAGAGACAGAGAGACACCUGCAGACAUGCUUCACCACUCCUGAAGCUUUCCCCGCAAGUGGGCACCAGGGGCUUGAACCUGGGUCCUCAUGCACUGUAAUGUAAACGGUUAAUCAGGUGUGCCACCAAGACAGACCAGAGUGAAAUCAUUUGCCAAGAAUGUUUUCAUUAAUCAAGAACGAAAGUCGGAGGUUCGAAGACGAUCAGAUACCGUCUUAGUUCCGACCAUAAACGAUGACAAUUGGCAAUGCAGGGGCAUUAUUCCCAUGACCCACCGGGCAGCUUCUGGGAAACCAAAGUCUUUGGGUU